GGAGGGCAAGCUGGAGCCACUUGAUGAUGGGAUUUGAUUGAUGGGUUUGGGAUUUUGGAACCAAUGGGGGGCUCAUGCUUGUUAGAAAAUAUGCGCUGUUUGUGGGGACGGUAAUGGAUGGCAAGAGGUUGAAAUACCUUUUCUUUUGUCAUUGCUUUUCUGCUACCACUGCCCAUGGGUUAACAUGCCAUUGGUCUUUUCAGGUUAAUAAUCAGAAUCUUACCUGAAGGACUAGGGGGGGCUGGCAAUGGCAUAUUUCAGUAGCCUCGUGAGAUGAUCAUUUCACAACUUGCAAACAUUUAUUCUCGGUACUCGUAUGGAUAUAACGAUGUGAUCUUCAAAGACAGACACUCAUUCAAGUUCGAGUAACAUAAAAAAGGUUCAAUGUCUGCCUAUGUUUAUGCCAAUUGUAUUUGAUCAUUUGAAUUUGAUACCUUAAAAAUAAAGUAUAUACAUGUUUUAAAUAUGCUCUAUCAUAUUUUUUGAAGACUCAAUUAGAACAUUUUGAAAUUCCGAACCAUUUAAUAGAAACGUUUGGUGCAAUUAAUUGGAGUACGUUUGGACA
RNAcentral lists this long non-coding RNA (565 nucleotides) under Gossypium barbadense (sea-island cotton). Its description in RNAcentral is "long non-coding RNA (GBAR_LNC022755)". The record is from RNAcentral. Lineage: Eukaryota; Viridiplantae; Streptophyta; Magnoliopsida; Malvales; Malvaceae.